UACGUAGGGUGCAAGCGUUGUCCGGAAUUAUUGGGCGUAAAGAGCUCGUAGGCGGCCGUUCGCGUCGGAUGUGAAAGCUCAGGGCUCAACCCUGAGACGCCAUUCGAUACGGGACGGCUAGAGGUAGGUAGGGGAAAGUGGAAUUCCUGGUGUAGCGGUGAAAUGCGCAGAUAUCGAGAGGAACACCUGCGGCGAAGGCGGGUUGCUGGGCUGACACUGACGCUGAGGCGCGAAAGCCAGGGGAGCGAACGGG
Molecule: ribosomal RNA, 253 nt
Filed under: uncultured bacterium
Lineage: Bacteria
Description: partial 16S ribosomal RNA
Rfam family: Bacterial small subunit ribosomal RNA
Source: RNAcentral